This 253-nucleotide ribosomal RNA is filed under the name uncultured bacterium. RNAcentral's name for it is "partial 16S ribosomal RNA". It matches the Rfam family "Bacterial small subunit ribosomal RNA", at positions 524 to 776 of the family's 1533-position model. The record is from RNAcentral.
GACAGAGGGUGCAAACGUUGUUCGGAAUUACUGGGCGUAAAGCGUGUGUAGGCGGCUCGGAAAGUCGGGUGUGAAAGCCCUGGGCUUAACCCAGGAAGUGCACUCGAAACUUCCGAGCUGGAGUCCUGGAGAGGAAGGCGGAAUUCUCGGUGUAGAGGUGAAAUUCGUAGAUAUCGAGAGGAACACCUGCGGCGAAGGCGGGUUGCUGGGCUGACACUGACGCUGAUGCGCGAAAGCUAGGGGAGCGAACGGG